This is a long non-coding RNA of Oryzias melastigma (Indian medaka), 2051 nucleotides long. RefSeq lists it as uncharacterized. The transcript is spliced from 4 exons. Lineage: Eukaryota; Metazoa; Chordata; Actinopteri; Beloniformes; Adrianichthyidae. The record is from RefSeq and is a predicted model, not a curated record.
GCGGAGACUGAUGAGGUUGUCAAGGCAACGGCUGCCGAAGCUAACGGGAGCAGGGCUCGAGGCCGCUCCAGCCCUCGGUGGACAGCGGGGAUGAGAGCACGGCGGUUUGUGCGGGAAUCCGCAGCUCUUGGCAGGUGGCUGCCUGUUGGCAAACGGCGCACAGGUGAGCGCGCGGACGGCGAGCCGCAGCUCUCUGGCACCGCCGCACGCGCAGGUUCGCGUCCUCUCCGAAGUAGACUCCCAGAAUCGUGGCGAUGACCGCACACACGAGCGCACCCAGGACGCCGGCCACCAGUCCUGACACGUCCACUCGGGACAGACUGCCUUCAAACACAAACAGGACCUUCAUUUGUCAUCCAUGUCUCGUUCCACCUUCCUCUGUGAGGCGUUUACUGUCAAGAACAACUUCAGGAAACUGCAGUGCUUGUAGGGGCGUGUUUGUUGUGGACUUCCAUCCCAUACAAAGCUUAACCUACCAGCCCCUGCAGGUCAUCCUCAAAAAUCUCUCUGGCUUCCUCAUACGAGCAGAUCUCCUGGAUGCACUCCCUGUCCAAGUUUCCCUGCACCAGCAGCUCAAAGUCAAAGCUGUUGCGGAGCAGGUGACGGGACAGGAAGGAGGCUGCAGACUGUUCAUCCAGCACCACUGACUCUUCUGCAAAACACAAAGGAACACUGAAGGAGUAGGACGGCUGUCCGCCCUGCAGCUCCACCGGCUCCUCAGGACCCGGAUGCUGCAGAUCUGCUCAGACUGCAGGAGACACGGUCUCCAACACAGUAACAACAAUAAGGAUUUUCUACAAGGUCUGGAACAGGAAGAAAAGGUCUCGAGAUGACUUUCAAUACCAUAGAAAUGUUAAAAAAAAACUUUGUUCCACUCCAAAAUGAAAAUACUCCAGAAAGUGCCAAAAAUGUCCUGGAAUUCUAACAAUCAGUGUAUUUCAGCUUCAAGUCCUUCUCAGGAGAAGCAGCUGAGCUCAACAGUACGACACCAUCUCCUCCCUCAGGCUGUGGUCAGCUCAGUGAGAGGAGGGGUUUACCUGAUCUGUGUCUGGAGCUGGUAGAGCCGUGGAUCACCUGCAGCAGGAGCAGCCCGGUACGCCACCCCACCACCAUGCGACUGCCAGAAACAAGGAAGAGCCUCUGUGAAAGUCAGCAGCCGUCCAGCUCGUUAACCUGACCCCGCUGGAGCACUCACCUGGCCAGCAGCAUGCUGAGCGAACUGUCACAGCCUGCUGGAGUCAAACAAACAUGAGAGAUGCAGCCUAAAACCAAAUCCAGAGUUCUGCUGAGUGUCAGGAAGUGGAGAUCUGUGAUCCAGUCGAUCAAGCCACAAACCUGUUUGGCAGCAUUCUAGCUGAAGUAGGAAACAACGUGUUUGUGGGAGGAACACACUAUUGGUUUGCUCUGGGGGGCGGUGUCUUUCCUUGUGCUGGAGACAGUAAGUUCUGGAGGCCUUGGUGGACUUACAGACUUUUCCCAGUGCUUAAUGAAAUCCCCAUGCGCUGCCUUGUCUGUGAUAAACCCUGACGGAUUUCUUAGGAAGCUGAUCUAGAGGAGUUUGGUGGCAACAUGUGACAUUCUUCUAACUCGUCCUUAUGAAUCUGAGUUCUGAAGGAAAGGUCAGAUCCAGGCUGAUCUUUGACACACCUGAUGCCACCUCCACACACUCAGUGUGGGGGUGGUACUACAGCCAGAACGUUCCUCUAGCACGUCAGAAAGUUUCAUGUUGUGUUUUUCAGGAAUCAGAUGACAUUCUUUUUUGUUUCGUGAAGCCGAGAGUGCAGCAGGCAGACACACUGUGAGCCCUGACAGCAAACAUAGAAAACAUGAACUAGAUUCUGACUGUGAUGCUCCUGGUCCAAGUGAAGAAGUGAAGUCUGGUUCUGUUGGAGCAGCAGGUUAAUUCAAACAAAGAUUCAUGUUGAACUGCUCUUUACUGCUGAAGGACAGAUCUUUGACUUUCUGUCUCAGUUUGAACUCAACGAGCCGCUUUUCUCCUUCACAAUCUAUGGAAUUAUUAUGUUAACAAUUAAAAAACUAGAAAAGUUGAA